This 163-nucleotide ribosomal RNA is filed under the name Rhodanobacter sp. FW510-R12. RNAcentral's name for it is "partial 23S ribosomal RNA". It matches the Rfam family "Bacterial large subunit ribosomal RNA", at positions 2778 to 2925 of the family's 2925-position model. Lineage: Bacteria; Pseudomonadati; Pseudomonadota; Gammaproteobacteria; Lysobacterales; Rhodanobacteraceae. The record is from RNAcentral.
CAUCUAAGCGGGAAGCACGCCCCAAGAUGAGAUCUCCCGAGAGCUUGACUCUCCUUAAGGCACCAUCAAGACCAGGUGGUUGAUAGGUCAGGUGUGGAAGCGCAGCAAUGCGUUGAGCUAACUGAUACUAAUGAGCCGUGCGGCUUGACCAUAUAACCCCAAG